UUAAAUCAUCUAUGUGGGACAAAAGAAAACACAAAAUGACUAAUUUGAUAUAGUAAAACUUAAAAAGCUGCAGAAUGUAUUUUUCCUAAAAUAACAUAAAACAUCGAACAAUAAUAAGUAAGCAUUACUUUAAUAUAAACUAACAUAGACAUGAGUGAUAGAAAAUAUAGCUUGUAAGCUUUGACUACUCUUGUUCUGUUCAAAACCAAGAAAGAGAAAACCAAUAAUCAAAAGUUUGUCUCAUGUAUUCUGUUCAAAAUCAAGAAAGAGAAAACAUCAUCAACUACACUCAUUUUCUUUACAGAGUAUAGUAAAACCAGAAAAACAACAACUCUUAACAACCACCAAAAUACUUUUAGUAGAUGGAGUUAAUCUUCGAUUAACUAUGGCACACAAUUACCUCUACUUUCAUACUAAGAUACUUUAUUUUUAAUUUGGAAAAUAUUCAUGAACCCUACAUUUUAUUCCUUAAUGAUAUAGUAUUCCUUGGAUGAUCUAACUUUUAGGGUAGAUCUUACACCCAUUAAAGUACUUUUAGAGUGUGUUUGAUUUGGGAGUAAAUGGAAGGGAGGGGUGAAUAUAUUUUUAAUUAAAUAUGUUUAGUUUAAGUUUUAUGAGAUGGGGAAGGGAGGAGAAGGGUGCAAAACCCCUCAAUUAUUUUAUGUAUUUGUUUUUUUAUUUGAUUCAUCACAAUUAAAAAAUUAUUAUCAACAUAUAUUUUAAUCCGUAUCAAAGAGUUAUAAUCUAAAUUAAGUAUACUCAAUUUUUUAAUGAUAUAUAAUAAAUAAUAAUUUUUUUAAUCACUCAAUAUUAGAAGUUUUGUUUAACUAUAUCUACAUAUUUUAUUAUCAAAAAAUAUUUACAAAAUUUUCAUCUUUGAAUAUCAUAUGAAUUAUAUAAAAUAAUAAAGAAUAAAAAUAUAAAUUAUUCAUAAAAUUUCUCCCCUCCUUUUGUUAACAAACCAUAUUUUUAUUUAAAAUCAGCAUUUCCUCUCUUCUCCUCUCUUUAUAUAAGAUAUAUACAUAUAGAUAUAUAUAAUAAUAUAUAUAAAAUUCUUCGUCUCCCCUCACCUUUUUUUUUCUAUUAAAAUUUCUUUCUUUCUCAUAGUAUUGAUGAGUGUUGGCGAUAUUAAUAUUAUUGAAGAUAUAUUUAAAAAUUGGAGUUAUGACUACGAUUCGUGCUAUUAUAAUGUAGUUUUCGAAUCAAAUCCAUAAUUUUGUAACAUGUUUAUAAAUUUAAUUGAAUGUUUACAAGUCUUUUACAUUCCUUCCACCGCAAGGUGUAGAUUUUAAUCUAGUUUUGUAUUAAGUACGAAAAAUCUUUUAAAUUUUUUAAUCCAGUCAACGAUCCUUUUAAUUAUUAAUAUUUUGAAAGGUAUAAGUAAUUACUCAACAUAAACACAAUCAAGAUAUUUUUUUAAAGAAAUUAUUUAAAAUAUAGUCACGACGAUGCAGUUUUCGUUAUAUACUAUGAACAAAUAAACAUGUAAGAAUUCUCUUAUUAUAUUAUAAUAAUAAAAUUUUGAGCUUGACAAAUAAAUUUAAAGAUAAAAAUAUAAAUCAAAUUGUGAGAGAAAUUAUAGAGUUACCAGCAUUAUAAUGUACAAAUAAAAUAAUACGAUUUGAAGUAGCAUUAUUUUUCAACUUUAUUCUACUUCCAUGCACUCACAAUUAGAAGAAAUGCACAUAGGUAUGAAAGGAAUGUGACAUGCUUUAUUGUAACAAUCCCGGUGAAUUUUACAAGGGAAUGGAUAAUCUGCAAUGUCAAAUUAAAAUAAAAGGUUGUUCUAAUAAAUAGUUGAUUUAAAAAAAUAGUAUGUAUUUGAUGUGAAAGAAUCUUUGAAAAUGGUGUGAAGAAAAGACUUACAGACUUUGUAUCUACCCCUGACGGCAUUGGUUACAACAAAACACAAAGAAAGAAAGACUAUCAAAGGAUAAAUAAAUUUGAGGAUUUGACUCAUUUUUUCUUCUUUUGCAUGUAAUAAGUUUAAAAAUGUU
RNAcentral lists this long non-coding RNA (1997 nucleotides) under Lathyrus oleraceus (garden pea). Its description in RNAcentral is "Pisum sativum (pea) long non-coding RNA (PSAT_LNC020318)". Lineage: Eukaryota; Viridiplantae; Streptophyta; Magnoliopsida; Fabales; Fabaceae. The record is from RNAcentral.